CGGCACGGGUGAGUAACGCGUGGAUAAUCUACCCUUAAGAUGGGGAUAACGGCUGGAAACGGUCGCUAAUACCGAAUACGCUCCCGAUUUUAUCAUUGGGGGGAAAGAUGGCCUCUGCUUGCAAGCUAUCGCUUAAGGAUGAGUCCGCGUCCCAUUAGCUAGUUGGCGGGGUAACGGCCCACCAAGGCAACGAUGGGUAGCCGGUCUGGGAGGAUGACCGGCCACACUGGAACUGGAACACGGUCCAG
RNAcentral lists this ribosomal RNA (248 nucleotides) under uncultured bacterium. RNAcentral describes it as "partial 16S ribosomal RNA". It matches the Rfam family "Bacterial small subunit ribosomal RNA", at positions 100 to 334 of the family's 1533-position model. The record is from RNAcentral.